UGGAAGUCUGAAGGGAGAAGGGGUGUGUCACUUUGUCUGACAGCUGACUACCCUUGGGACGUUACUUUUUGCCUUUCAUUGUAUACAUUUUUGGUACACAAUGCCUGCAAAGAAGAAACAGUUUGCCAAGAACAUUAGCAGCAAGAGGAAAAGGCACAUAGAAGCAAUGAUAAGGUCUAUACAAGCAAAGAGAGCAGCAGCUGCUGUGGUUGGUGACGCCGCCACGAUGCUAGUACCACCACGUGGUGACGCCGCCACCAUGCUAGUACCACCACGUGGUGACGCCGCCACGAUGCUAGUACCACCACCCUCCUCUCAAGACCUGUCCUUGUUCACUGCUACUGAACUAUUGGAUAUUUCACGUUCAGAAACAAGGAAGACAAAAUAUAGGAGCCCCGCAAAUAUGCCCACCUCCACCACGGCUGCUACUACCACAACUACUACCACCACGGCUGCUACUACCACAACUACUACAGCGUUGUAUAAAAGGCAGAACGCAAAACUGUAAUGAAAGUCUGCAUCACCGCAUAUGGUCUUACAGCAAUAAAGCCAAAUAUCAAACCAAGAGGCAUGCUGAUUUCGCAGUCAGCCAUGCUGUUGCUGACUACAAUAGUGGAUAUGUGAGGAGCUGUCUGGACACAGCACUGGGCUACAAACAUUCAGCAGUGACUCAAAAACAACUUGAAUUAAUGGAGAAGAACAUGAAGGAACAACGGAAGCAAAGAGGAAUGAAGAGGAAAAGGGAGCUGGACACGUCCUACGAGCCUGGAGGACAUUAGAUAAUCAUGUGUCCACCUACAUCCAGUCAUAGAUUGAUUGGGAUGGAUUUUUAUGAUUGUCCGGCCACCAGAGAACUUCAGGACAAAGGGAUCUUCAUGGAACUUCAGGAAUAAUGUCUAUAUAACCAGUUCUACUCUCAAUAAACGUAUAAAGGCA
Molecule: non-coding RNA, 936 nt
Organism: Cherax quadricarinatus
Lineage: Eukaryota; Metazoa; Arthropoda; Malacostraca; Decapoda; Parastacidae
Source: RefSeq, a predicted model, not a curated record